CCUACGGGAGUCAGCAGUGAGGAAUAUUGGUCAAUGGCGGCAAGGCUGAACCAGCCAAGUCGCGUGAAGGAAGAAGGGUCUAUGGAUUGUAAACUUCUUUUAUGGGGGAAUAAAGUGAGGCACGUGUGGGUAUUUGCAUGUACCCAAUGAAUAAGCACCGGCUAACUCCGUGCCAGCAGCCGCGGUAAUACGGAGGGUGCGAGCGUUAUCCGGAUUUACUGGGGUUAAAGGGGGCGCAGGUGGACUUUUAAGUCAGAUGUGAAAUGUUGUGGCUCAACCAUAGAAUUGCCGUUGAAACUGGGAGUCUUGAGUGUGUUUGAGGUAGGCGGAAUUCGUGGUGUAGCGGUGAAAUGCAUAGAUAUCACGAAGAACUCCGAUUGCGAAGGCAGCCUACU
Molecule: ribosomal RNA, 395 nt
Filed under: uncultured bacterium
Lineage: Bacteria
Description: partial 16S ribosomal RNA
Rfam family: Bacterial small subunit ribosomal RNA
Source: RNAcentral